Molecule: ribosomal RNA, 494 nt
Filed under: uncultured bacterium
Lineage: Bacteria
Description: partial 16S ribosomal RNA
Rfam family: Bacterial small subunit ribosomal RNA
Source: RNAcentral
GACGAACGCUGGCGGCGUGCUUAACACAUGCAAGUCGAACGGUGAAGCGCCUUCCUUUUUGGUGGGUGUGGAUGAGUGGCGAACGGGUGAGUAACACGUGAGUAACCUGCCCCCUUCUUCUGGAUAACCGCAUGAAAGUGUGGCUAAUACGGGAUAUUCUGGGUCUGUCGCAUGAUGGGUCUGGGAAAGAUAUUGUUUCGGUGGGGGAUGGGCUCGCGGCCUAUCAGCUUGUUGGUGGGGUGAUGGCCUACCAAGGCGGUGACGGGUAGCCGGCCUGAGAGGGUGGACGGUAGCACUGGGACUGAGACACGGCCCAGACUCCUACGGGAGGCAGCAGUGGGGAAUAUUGCACAAUGGGCGCAAGCCUGAUGCAGCGACGCCGCGUGAGGGAGGGAGGCCUUCGGGUUGUGAACCUCUUUCGCCAGUGAAGCAGGCCUGCCUCGUUUGUGGGUGGGUUGACGGUAGCUGGAUAAGAAGCGCCGGCUAACUACGUG